RNAcentral lists this ribosomal RNA (396 nucleotides) under uncultured bacterium. RNAcentral's name for it is "partial 16S ribosomal RNA". It matches the Rfam family "Bacterial small subunit ribosomal RNA", at positions 523 to 918 of the family's 1533-position model. The record is from RNAcentral.
AUACGUAGGGUGCGAGCGUUGUCCGGAAUUACUGGGCGUAAAGGGCGUGUAGGCGGUCUUGCAAGUCAGAAGUGAAAUUCCUGAGCUCAACUCGGGCGCUGCUUCUGAAACUGCAGGACUUGAGUGCUGGAGGGGAUAGCGGAAUUCCUAGUGGAGCGGUAAAAUGCGCAGAUAUUAGGAAGAACACCGGUGGCGAAGGCGGCUAUCUGGACAGUAACUGACGCUGAGGCGCGAAAGCGUGGGGAGCAAACAGGAUUAGAUACCCUGGUAGUCCACGCUGUAAACGAUGAAUACUAGGUGUGGGGGGACUGACCCCCUCCGUGCCGCAGUUAACACAAUAAGUAUUCCACCUGGGGAGUACGAUCGCAAGAUUGAAACUCAAAUGAAUUGGCGGGG